RNAcentral lists this transfer RNA (73 nucleotides) under Xenus cinereus. Its description in RNAcentral is "tRNA-Glu". Lineage: Eukaryota; Metazoa; Chordata; Aves; Charadriiformes; Scolopacidae. The record is from RNAcentral.
GGUUCCUGUGGUUGAAAUUGAACAACGACGGUUUUUCAGGCCGUAGGUCUUGGAAAAAAGCCAAGCAGGAAUU